GUGAUCCUCCCAUCUCAGCCUCCCGAGUAGCUGGGGCUACAGGUCUUUUGCUCCACGUGAUAUUGACUAUGAUCAUCUGGAGGGUCCGUGGUUCCAGUGACUUAGCAUCAAAGACGGCCUAACACACACGUCUGGUGCCUCUGCUGGGAUGGCUGAAGCAGCCGGAGGCUGGCCAGCUACUCAGGAGGCGGAGGCAAAGGAUCGCUUGAACCCAG
This 215-nucleotide long non-coding RNA is filed under the name Homo sapiens (human). Its description in RNAcentral is "HSALNT0291190". Lineage: Eukaryota; Metazoa; Chordata; Mammalia; Primates; Hominidae. The record is from RNAcentral.